GACAGAUGCCGACGAUUUGCACGAAGCUGGCAUAUGGCGGCGGGUCGAGUGACGCGGGACCUUUCUCAGUGAUGGACGAUAAACAAGCCAAGAAAACAAGGCAAAAUCGCAACGGCCUACGUUAACCCAAGCGAGUUUAAUCAUUCCGGACGAGCGGGAUCUAUCCGCGAGCCGCACUAAAACGAUAAUCGAUUAAGCAGAGGUCGAGGGAAAUUGGCACGAGAGACUGACUGGCAGGACGAAGGUAACGAAUGACGAAAUCAAGGACAUCAGCCCUGCUAUUACGUCAAAACUAUCGUUAUAGGGCAGUGCUUUGAAUUAUGCGAAAGAAGAUUUAUACCCGACGAAAUUGAAUCUCAUCGGAUAA
This is a long non-coding RNA of Mycetomoellerius zeteki, 367 nucleotides long. RefSeq lists it as uncharacterized. The record is from RefSeq and is a predicted model, not a curated record. NCBI's taxonomy places the organism in Eukaryota, Metazoa, Arthropoda, Insecta, Hymenoptera, Formicidae. The transcript has 3 exons.